RNAcentral lists this ribosomal RNA (452 nucleotides) under uncultured Flavobacterium sp. Its description in RNAcentral is "bacterial SSU rRNA". It matches the Rfam family "Bacterial small subunit ribosomal RNA", at positions 346 to 795 of the family's 1533-position model. The record is from RNAcentral. Lineage: Bacteria; Pseudomonadati; Bacteroidota; Flavobacteriia; Flavobacteriales; Flavobacteriaceae.
AGGCUGCAGUGAGGAAUAUUGGUCAAUGGGCGCAAGCCUGAACCAGCCAUGCCGCGUGCAGGAAGAAGCAUCUAUGGUGUGUAAACUGCUUUUAUACAGGAAGAAACAACGCUACGUGUAGCGUCUUGACGGUACUGUAAGAAUAAGGACCGGCUAACUCCGUGCCAGCAGCCGCGGUAAUACGGAGGGUCCAAGCGUUAUCCGGAAUCAUUGGGUUUAAAGGGUCCGUAGGCGGUCUUAUAAGUCAGUGGUGAAAUCUCCUAGCUCAACUAGGAAACUGCCAUUGAUACUGUAAGACUUGAAUUUUUGUGAAGUAACUAGAAUAUGUAGUGUAGCGGUGAAAUGCUUAGAUAUUACAUGGAAUACCAAUUGCGAAGGCAGGUUACUAACAAACGAUUGACGCUGAUGGACGAAAGCGUGGGGAGCGAACAGGAUUAGAUACCCCAGUAGUC